UACGUAGGGUGCGAGCGUUAAUCGGAAUUACUGGGCGUAAAGCGUGCGCAGGCGGUUUUUUAAGCCAGUUGUGAAAUCCCCGGGCUUAACCUGGGAAUGGCAUUUGGGACUGCAAGGCUGGAGUUUGGCAGAGGAGACUGGAAUUCCUGGUGUAGCAGUGAAAUGCGUAGAUAUUGGGAAGAACACCAGUGGCGAAAGCGGACUUCUGGGUUGUUACUGACGCUGAGGUACGAAAGCGUGGGGAGCAAACGGG
RNAcentral lists this ribosomal RNA (253 nucleotides) under uncultured bacterium. RNAcentral describes it as "partial 16S ribosomal RNA". It matches the Rfam family "Bacterial small subunit ribosomal RNA", at positions 524 to 776 of the family's 1533-position model. The record is from RNAcentral.